UACGGGAGGCAGCAGUGGGGGAUAUUGCACAAUGGGGGAAACCCUGAUGCAGCGACGCCGCGUGAGUGAAGAAGUAUUUCGGUAUGUAAAGCUCUAUCAGCAGGGAAGAUAAUGACGGUACCUGACUAAGAAGCACCGGCUAAAUACGUGCCAGCAGCCGCGGUAAU
Molecule: ribosomal RNA, 167 nt
Filed under: uncultured rumen bacterium
Lineage: Bacteria
Description: partial 16S ribosomal RNA
Rfam family: Bacterial small subunit ribosomal RNA
Source: RNAcentral